GGUUCGAUUCCGGCUCGAAGGACUUCGUG
RNAcentral lists this non-coding RNA (29 nucleotides) under Cricetulus griseus (Chinese hamster). The record is from RNAcentral. Lineage: Eukaryota; Metazoa; Chordata; Mammalia; Rodentia; Cricetidae.